GGGCAUCACACCACCACAUCACUCUGUUCCUCUGACCGUCCACAGUGAAAGAUAAUAGAGUCCAACGAUUUAGCCGUGCCUCGAUCCUUUAUAAAGCUUCUCUCGUGCUUGUGAUGGUGUGAACCAUAGGUGGCCUUCCCAAGCUGCUCCUCUCUCAUCUCUACAGCCAGCAAGCCCGAAGCAGCAGCCAGCAGGAGUCCCUCGUCGGUCGACCCGGUGAUCUCCGCCAUCAUCCCAAGCUCUCCUUACCUGCCUCAUAGCAUACAGUCGCUAAAUCAAGGUGACCUCUCAUAGUCUGGUGUUUCUUUUUGAGGAUGAAUUGAUGGUUCUUUGCAUUGGCCCGUUCUUCUUUACUCUUUCUCUUUUAUUGUUUGGCUAUGUGCAAAGAUGCUUUUCCAGAUUAUGUAGCAGCCUGGAAGCCAUGCAUUUCCAGACAUUAGUGUUUGCUACACUAGCUUAGAGAACCCAACUCUUAACUACCGAAUCCAGCCUGGACCGUGAAGCACGAUCAUGGCGUACUCUGUAGUUGGGCUGAGCACUUAAUCCAUAUGUUUAGAUCAAGUCUGCCCGUGCAAGUUCUUAACUAGGUCCACGGAUGUUAGUUCGGUACAUUAGCACAUAACUCUACAAUAGUAACAGGCUUUUUUUAGCUUAAAUGGAACAGGCUUUCUUAUAAUGCGUGGUAAAUAAUAGAUCGACAUAUUUCUUAGUAAGCCUAGUAUGGUCUCAAGGCUGGACAAAAUGACUCAUGUGACUUUUAAAUAAGUUUUUACCAAAAUGGUUACCAAUAAGAUGAGAGGUAAAUGUAUGUAUAAAAACUUGCUAAGAUUUUAGCACACCAACAUAAUAAUAGGCAUGCGGUCACAGGCUAAUCUGCUAGAAUUUCUAUGCCCCCUUUGCAACGCACGGACAAUUAUUUAGUAGAUAAUUAAUUUGAGAUUAUGAAGAGGGCGAUCCAAUUUGUAAUUAGUAUAUAUAUACAUAUUAUAUAUAUAUAUAUAUAUAUAUAUAUUUGAUACUCAACUUAAUUUGGGGCUAUUAAUUUGUCGCAAAUAGUAUAUCUUGUAUGUAUAUCUUUUUUCAUCAAUAAGUUUGUACAAUACUAGAAGGAUGUCGUGCAUACCAUAAAGAAAAAUAUAAGGGUGUCACGCAUUAAUUACCGAAGAUAUAUGGUAAUAAAAAGAGAAAGAUUUGUUUCUAUAUAUAUGAACCAUGGAUCAGAAGGCUGCAAGUCAAACGAAGACACAUCCUAUCGUUCUUGGAUCAGAUCAAAUAUUGCAGUCGUGGUCGAUCGGCUGCAACAUGGGAAAGUGCACUAAGCAAGUUCACGCCCUGUUGCUACUUCUUCUCGUAUGCUUCGCUAUUCACGGGCAGUUUGAAGUCGUCGGUGUCAAUGGCGAGCGUAUUCCUCCGUGGUGCAUAAAGAGUGCAACUAUACCAAUCUGCAACCCAGAUAAAUAUAGAUGCUAUUGUUGUGUAGGCAAUUGGCAAUGCUACAAAACAAUGGACGAGUGCAGAGCCAAGUGUGCAUAUUUACCUCCCUCCUCUUCCUCUGUACUUCCAUGAAACUGGGAUCUUAUCAUGAGCUGGAAGAAAAAUGAAUAAGAUCCUGGCAAUAAACAAUUUGCUAUGAAUUUAUUUGGCAAUUAUCGUUUGCAGUUUUUGGUUGCCGAAACAUAUACUUUGCCUUUUUCUUCCUUCCCUCUUUUCUCCUCCGUUUCCCUUGUUUGAGAAUUCCAUGUUGUACUCCAUGCAACAUAUAUAUUGUUCUGUUAGAAAAUACGCUAGAUCGCAAAUUAACUGAGUAUAUUAAAACAGAAUUGCUAUUUCACAUCUAGAUGUAAUAUAUUUAUCUCACAUCUAAAUGCAGUACCAUUCGAUCUGUUUCUGCUUCAUUUUUCAUGCGAGCUUCUGAUCCCUGCCCAGCGCUGGUGUGGCUCGCGUCGGCCCAUUUGUCGUCGUUGUUUCACGUUUUUUUGUUGUGGCCCGUUGUUAUACUUCGGCCUUGGGCCCAUUUCCGCUUGUUUGUCCCGAGGAGAGGCAGGGCGUUCUUCAGCCUGUUCCACUUCUCACUCCAUUCCUCUUUCUCCCAUCCAUCUGCGAGCGACGGGAGCAUGAAGGAGAAGGCGGCCGGCCAUGUCGAUCUGGGAGAAGAGAUGGAAGGGCAGUGGGGUGAGGUGAGUACAGAAGAGGAGACGAGGUGAGUACAGGAGAGCAAGAAGGAGAAGGCAGCCAGGUCGAUCUGGGAGAAGAGAUGGACAGGAGCACGAAGGCGAAGGCAGCCAGGUCAAUCUGCUUGUUCUUUUUUUUUUCAUGUUUGACCACAUCUAGAAAUGUAGUUGUAGAUUUGUGUGUUAGAUUGGAUUUUAGUAGGAGGAAGAGGAGGUGAUGGAGGUGAAUUCCGUUAUGAUUUUAUUCUGCAAUCCAGCGAUAUGGUUUGUACUACAGCCUCGGGAAUACUAAUGUACAUCUAGUAAUGUAGUACUAGUAGAUUAUAUACUGAUGUUCAUGUAGAAAGGUAGCUGUAGUUUGUUUUUGGUUUCUGCUCCAUUGUUGUGCCCGUCGUUUUUGUAGGGGUGUAAAAAGGUCUUUUUUUUUACCAACAGAUCCAAGUCAGGCAUCAAUUUUCCCAGGUUUAGAUUAGAGGAUUGCGAAAUUUAAAAAAAAAAAUAGGUCAGGGGAUGUUAUUUUUUUAUUUCUGCUUCGAAGAAAAAUGACUUCCAAAAUCAAGUCCAAAUUUCUUGGAGUACUGAUCAUAUACAG
Long non-coding RNA from Triticum urartu, 2763 nucleotides. RefSeq lists it as uncharacterized. The record is from RefSeq and is a predicted model, not a curated record. NCBI's taxonomy places the organism in Eukaryota, Viridiplantae, Streptophyta, Magnoliopsida, Poales, Poaceae.